Molecule: ribosomal RNA, 432 nt
Filed under: uncultured bacterium
Lineage: Bacteria
Description: partial 16S ribosomal RNA
Rfam family: Bacterial small subunit ribosomal RNA
Source: RNAcentral
AACGAACGCUGGCGGCAUGCCUAACACAUGCAAGUCGAACGAGACCUUCGGGUCUAGUGGCGCACGGGUGCGUAACGCGUGGGAACCUGCCCUUAGGUUCGGAAUAACUCCCCGAAAGGGGUGCUAAUACCGGAUAAUGUCUUCGGACCAAAGAUUUAUCGCCUUUGGAUGGGCCCGCGUUGGAUUAGCUAGUUGGUAGGGUAAAAGCCUACCAAGGCGACGAUCCAUAGCUGGUCUGAGAGGAUGAUCAGCCACACUGGGACUGAGACACGGCCCAGACUCCUACGGAAGGCAGCAGUGGGGAAUAUUGGACAAUGGGCGAAAGCCUGAUCCAGCAAUGCCGCGUGAGUGAUGAAGGCCUUAGGGUUGUAAAGCUCUUUUACCCGGGAUGAUAAUGACAGUACCGAGAGAAUAAGCUCCGGCUAACUCCGU